RNAcentral lists this ribosomal RNA (468 nucleotides) under uncultured bacterium. Its description in RNAcentral is "partial 16S ribosomal RNA". It matches the Rfam family "Bacterial small subunit ribosomal RNA", at positions 28 to 507 of the family's 1533-position model. The record is from RNAcentral.
GACGAACGCUGGCGGCGUGCUUAACACAUGCAAGUCGAACGGAAAGACCAUGCUUUUGUGGGGUGCUCGAGUGGCGAACGGGUGAGUAAAACGUGAGUAACAUGCCCUUAAAUGUGGGAUAAAUUCAGGGAAAUGGGGCUAAUACAGGAUAGGAGCUCCUGCUGCGUGGGGGGGGUUGGAAAGAGUCGGCGGUUGGGGAUGGACUCGCGGCUUAUGAGCUUGUUAGUGAGGUAGUGAAGUACAAGGGCUUUGAAGGGUAGCCGGCCUGAGAGGGUGACCGGCCACAUUGGGCCUGAGAGACGGCGCAGACUCCUACGGGAGGCAGCAGUGGGGAAUAUUGCACAAUGGGCGGAAGCCUGAUGCAGCAACGCCGCGUGCGGGAUGACGGCCUUCGGGUUGUAAACCGCUUUCGCCUGUGACGAAGAGUGAGUGACGGUAAUGGGUAAAGAAGCACCGGCUAACUACGUG